CAGCAGCCGCGGUAAUGCGUAGGUGGCAAGCGUUGUCCGGAAUUAUUGGGCGUAAAGCGAGCGCAGGCGGUUAGAUAAGUCUGAAGUUAAAGGCUGUGGCUUAACCAUAGUACGCUUUGGAAACUGUUUAACUUGAGUGCAAGAGGGGAGAGUGGAAUUCCAUGUGUAGCGGUGAAAUGCGUAGAUAUAUGGAGGAACACCAGUGGCGAAGGCGGCUUUUUGGCCUGUAACUGACACUGAGGCGCGAAAGCGUGGGGAGCAAACAGGAUUAGAUACCCCUGUAGUCCCUGUCUCUUAUACA
Molecule: ribosomal RNA, 301 nt
Filed under: uncultured bacterium
Lineage: Bacteria
Description: partial 16S ribosomal RNA
Rfam family: Bacterial small subunit ribosomal RNA
Source: RNAcentral